Molecule: ribosomal RNA, 401 nt
Filed under: Scinax x-signatus (Venezuela snouted treefrog)
Lineage: Eukaryota; Metazoa; Chordata; Amphibia; Anura; Hylidae
Description: partial 16S ribosomal RNA
Rfam family: Bacterial large subunit ribosomal RNA
Source: RNAcentral
CCUUGUUCUUUAAAUGAGGACUAGUAUGAAUGGCACCACGAGGGUUGCACUGUCUCCUUCCCCUAAUCAAUGAAACUAAUCUUCCCGUGAAGAAGCGGGAAUUUAUUUAUAAGACGAGAAGACCCUAUGGAGCUUUAAAUUUCUCUUCAAACGCCAGACAUAAACCCUAAACAUCUUACACCAACCCGGCGCCAUGAAGAUGAAUUUUAGGUUGGGGUGACCACGGAGAACAAGACAACCUCCAUGCUGAAUAGGCCUAAAACCUUGAACUAAGGACCACAGCCCGACGAACUAAAAAAUUAACACCCAUUGACCCAAUUCUUUUUGAUCAACGAACCAAGUUACCCUAGGGAUAACAGCGCAAUCUACUUCAAGAGUCCUUAUCGACAAGUGGGUUUACG